CCUACCCCUAGGGGAGCUAGGGGUGUGGCUGCUGUGUCACAUGUUCACUGGUAAACAGCAGAGGAGAAAGCUAUGUCUAUGCUCAGUGUUUUGACCUGUGAACAUCUUAAUGAUUCGUAGGCUACUAUU
Molecule: small nucleolar RNA, 129 nt
Organism: Acomys russatus (golden spiny mouse)
Lineage: Eukaryota; Metazoa; Chordata; Mammalia; Rodentia; Muridae
Product: small nucleolar RNA SNORA17
Exons: 1
Source: RefSeq, a predicted model, not a curated record